GGUGACAGUAGCUGGUUACAUGUACACCGUCCGAUUCGGCGGGCUCAUCCGAUCAGAGACGUUCGUGCCCCCAUCCUCCCCCAGUAGCCAGAAGCUACUCUCGAACCCUAAUCCCUCUCCUCUUCCCACGAGGAGCCGCCGCCGCCGCCACGGCCACCGUCUUCCCCUCGAGCUCGUGAAGCCGGAGCCGCCGCCUUCUUCUCAAGCUCGCGGAGCCAGCCGUCGCCGCCGCCGUGCGGAGCCAGUGGUUACCGUCGCUGUCUUCCCAUCGACUUCUUGCGAGUCAUUUCCGUCUCCUUCCCCAUCCCACGCAGACUUUGGUUCUUGCAAGAUCUGUGCCCGCAUCGAGCCCCCACAAGCACGCGGUAAUCAGAAGUCCUCUGUCUCACUGCUCUCUUUCAUAUCAAACCCGGCAGCCUCUGCUUGAUUUUUCUGUAUGUAGUGCAUGGUCAUUCAGGUCUGAACAUAUGAGGCCUGCAGAUAUUUUUGGAAGCACAAACGAAAGGAUCACGUAUGUAUGUCAUGUUUGCUGAUUACUACCUUUCCCUGCAAAUACACAUACACCACUUGGAUGUAGAUACACAUUCUGUCUUGCUUAACAUGUUAAUUAACUUGAUUGAGUAAAUGAUUUUUGCAGUGAUUGGCCGAUAUCCCAAAGUAAAAUCAAUAAGUGACUGAAGGUAAUUCAUUAGUGUUUUAUGUCUAUAUAUGAUCAUAAAAGUGUCUGCAGGGUGCAUCAGACAAGCAAAAAGUAUAUGGGCAGUGAUGGCACAUUUCUUAGGGAAGGGAUUUAUGAGUUCAACGGCAAAAUCCUCUCUAUCAGUCCAUAUAGUAGCAGUUGCCUAGCAUUUUUAACUUACCUACAUUGCUCCCCUAUUUUUAGCUACAUAAGAACUAUAUGUAUGUCACCCCAUCAGAGUUGUUGUAUUUAAAUCACAUAUUCUUGUAUUCUAAGUCCAUAUGUUGUUGAGAAGUGUUCUCCAAUUCAUCUCUAUGCAGAGCAUCCUAUCAUAACAUUAACAAUGUUAGACCGUAUUUUUGGUGAGUGCUGCAUGCAGUUAUUAUUAUCAAAGCCAUCAAAGGUAUUGUACAUCGUUACAUCUCCUUCACCCUUUACAGGUUUCUACAUUACAGAUGCUCAUGUUAUUGUUUUAAAUCUUUUUCAACCAGUACAACCUGAUUAGCUAUUCUUACUAAUUCUUUUUAUACAAAAAAAUAUUUAGGCAUGUAUGUUUACACCAUCAAGUUUAAAAUGCUACUUACACUGCUUGCAUAUGUAAGAAAAAAUAACUGCCAGCUCCGUUCAAGUUCCCUAGAGCCAUAUAGUCUAUUGAUAUUCUGCUUGAUUUUUAAUCUUAUGACAAUGAUUCUAUGAUUAAGUUUAAUUAUGUAUAUCGUCGUCAUGCAUCUUGCAUUUCAUUUGCUGAAUAAUACACAAAUUGAUGUAUAACAACAUAACUGCAUAAUUGAGCUUAAUUUUUGCAAAGACCAUCCAGUACAGCUUCUGAGUUACAUUGGUAAUGGAACAACCGGCGUUAUUAUACUACUAUCAUAUGCUAUCAGGUAAUCUCUUCCUUAAAUUGUAGUUUGAUAGUCUUCGGGUCUCUACUAUUUGUGCUUACCAAUCCGUUUUUAAAGCUUGCUCCUGCUUGCAUGAAGAGAUUAUUUCUGUUUGGUGCUGCCGAGCACGAAGAAUUUGUUCAUCCAUGUGUUGCCAAUGCCUCUUGCAGUGUGAUAUGAUGUGAAUUGAGUAUUCAUGCUCUGUUAGCCUCUUUCAAGUAGCUAAUGGAGGAAAUGAUUCCCACCAUUUCAGUAGCUGUAUUAUGUCAGUUAUGCCCAUUUCAAAUAUGUAAUUUCUACUUUAUUUACCUCAUUGAGGUAUAUUGUUUCACAUUUUUCCCUGAGAUACAUUUCAGAUGGCAUUUUAAACUAGCGUGUUCUGUUUGUAUUAAACAAUUAAGUCAGGUAUAUAUGAAUGUGUGCCACAAUUUUUACAUUUUUUCA
Oryza sativa Japonica Group (Japanese rice) is the source of this 2004-nucleotide non-coding RNA. NCBI's taxonomy places the organism in Eukaryota, Viridiplantae, Streptophyta, Magnoliopsida, Poales, Poaceae. The record is from RefSeq and is a predicted model, not a curated record.